RNAcentral lists this ribosomal RNA (269 nucleotides) under uncultured bacterium. RNAcentral's name for it is "partial 16S ribosomal RNA". It matches the Rfam family "Bacterial small subunit ribosomal RNA", at positions 793 to 1055 of the family's 1533-position model. The record is from RNAcentral.
GUCCUAGCUGUAAAACGGUGCAUGUUUGCUGUGAGAGGAAUCGACCCCUUUCGUGGCGUAGCUAACGCGUUAAACAUGCCGCCUGGGGGAGUACGGCCGCAAGGUUAAAACUCAAAGAAAUUGACGGGGGCCUGCACAAGCGGUGGAGUAUGUGGCUUAAUUCGAUGCAACGCGAAGAACCUUACCUGGCCUUGACAUGCAAGUGGUAGAAACCUGAAAGGGUGACGACCCCGCAAGGGGAGCUUGCACAGGUGCUGCAUGGCUGUCGU